Molecule: ribosomal RNA, 468 nt
Filed under: uncultured bacterium
Lineage: Bacteria
Description: partial 16S ribosomal RNA
Rfam family: Bacterial small subunit ribosomal RNA
Source: RNAcentral
GACGAACGCUGGCGGCGUGCUUAACACAUGCAAGUCGAACGGAAAGGCCCUGCUCUUGUGGGGCGCUCGAGUGGCGAACGGGUGAGUAACACGCGUGUAACCUGCCCCUGACUUUGGGAUAACUUCAGGAAACUGGGGCUAAUACAGGAUAGGAGCUCCUGCUGCAUGGUGGGGGUUGGAAAGUUUCGGCGGUUGGGGAUGGACUCGCGGCUUAUGAGCUUGUUGGUGGGGUAGGGGCUUACCAAGGCUUUGACGGGUAGCCCGCCUGAGAGGUUGACCGGCGACAUUGGGACUGAGAUACGGCCCAGACUCCUACGGGACGCAGCAGUGGAGAAUAUUGCACAAUGGGCGGAAGCCUGAGGCAGCAACGCCGCGUGCGGGAUGACGGCCUUCGAGUUGUAAACCGCUGUCGCCUGUGACGAAGCGUGAGUGACGGUAAUGGGUAAAGAAGCACCGGCUAACUACGUG